RNAcentral lists this ribosomal RNA (492 nucleotides) under Ruminococcus flavefaciens. RNAcentral describes it as "bacterial SSU rRNA". It matches the Rfam family "Bacterial small subunit ribosomal RNA", at positions 1 to 516 of the family's 1533-position model. The record is from RNAcentral. Lineage: Bacteria; Bacillati; Bacillota; Clostridia; Eubacteriales; Oscillospiraceae.
GUCGAUUGAUCNUGGCUCAGGACGAACGCUGGCGGCACGCUUAACACAUGCAAGUCGAACGGAGAUAUUUUGGUUUACUGAGAUAUCUUAGUGGCGGACGGGUGAGUAACACGUGAGCAACCUACCUUAGAGAGAGGGAUAGCUUCUGGAAACGGAUGGUAAUACCUCAUAACAUAACUGAACCGCAUGAUUUAGUUAUCAAAGAUUUAUCACUCUGAGAUGGGCUCGCGUCUGAUUAGAUAGUUGGUGAGGUAACGGCUCACCAAGUCGACGAUCAGUAGCCGGACUGAGAGGUUGAACGGCCACAUUGGGACUGAGACACGGCCCAGACUCCUACGGGAGGCAGCAGUGGGGAAUAUUGCACAAUGGGGGAAACCCUGAUGCAGCGAUGCCGCGUGGAGGAAGAAGGUUUUCGGAUUGUAAACUCCUGUCUUAAAGGACGAUAAUGACGGUACUUUAGGAGAAGCUCCGGCUAACUACGUGCCAGCAGCC